AUGGGCGCUGGGGAAGGAGAGGCAGCUGGGAGCAAGGAGAAGAGCAGCGGCGUCGCCCGGACGUCCCUGGACGGCCUGCGGGACAAGAACGUGAUGCAGCUCAAGAAGCUCAACAUGGCGCUCUUCCCCGUCCGCUACAACGACAAAUACUACCAGGACGCCAUCGCCUCCAAGGACUUCUCCAAGCUCGCUUACUAUAGUGAUAUAUGUGUUGGAGCAAUCGCUUGUCGCCUGGAGAAGAAGGAAGGAGGGGUCGUCCGUGUUUAUAUCAUGACUCUGGGUGUAUUGGCGCCCUACCGUGGUCUUGGUCUUGGAACAAAGCUGCUGAACCAUGUUUUUGAUCUCUGUGCGAAGCAGAACAUCUCGGAGAUAUACUUACACGUUCAGACAAACAACGACGAUGCCAUUGCUUUCUACAAGAAGUUUGGUUUCGAAAUAACAGAGACGAUACAUAAUUACUAUACGAACAUCACUCCGCCAGAUUGCUAUGUUCUUACCAAAUUUAUCGGCCAGGUUGCUACAAAGAAAUGA
Molecule: ribosomal RNA, 531 nt
Filed under: Triticum aestivum (bread wheat)
Lineage: Eukaryota; Viridiplantae; Streptophyta; Magnoliopsida; Poales; Poaceae
Description: partial small subunit ribosomal RNA
Source: RNAcentral